AAUUGCCCUUCGGGGUGCAGCAGGCGCGAAAACUUCACAAUGGAAGAAAUCCCGAUGAGGGAAUUCCAAGUGCUAGCACUAUGUGUUAGCUGUUCUUUUGUCUAAAAAACAGAAGAAGUAAGGGCCGGGUAAGACGGGUGCCAGCCGCCGCGGUAAUACCCGCGGCCCGAGUGGUGGUCGAUAUUAUUGAGCCUAAAACGUCCGUAGCCGGUCUUGUAAAUCCUUGGGUAAAUCGGCCAGCUUAACUGUCCGAAGUCCGGGGAGACUGCAAGACUUGGGAUCGGGAGAGGUCAGAGGUACUUCUGGGGUAGGGGUAAAAUCCUGUAAUCCUGGAAGGACCACCGGUGGCGAAGGCGUCUGACUAGAACGAAUUCGACGGUGAGGGACGAAGCCCUGGGGCGCAAACGGGAUUAGAUACCCCGGUAGUCCAGGGUGUAAACGCUGCGGGCUUGGUGUUGGGGGUCCUUUGUGGGCGCCCUGUGCCGGAGAGAAGUUGUUAAGCCUGCUGCUUGGGGAGUACGUCCGCAAGGAUGAAACUUAAAGGAAUUGGCGGGGGAGCAC
RNAcentral lists this ribosomal RNA (561 nucleotides) under uncultured archaeon. Its description in RNAcentral is "bacterial SSU rRNA". It matches the Rfam family "Archaeal small subunit ribosomal RNA", at positions 316 to 879 of the family's 1478-position model. The record is from RNAcentral.